RNAcentral lists this long non-coding RNA (261 nucleotides) under Anas platyrhynchos (mallard). RNAcentral's name for it is "lncRNA (ENSAPLG00020009269.1)". The record is from RNAcentral. Lineage: Eukaryota; Metazoa; Chordata; Aves; Anseriformes; Anatidae.
GGGAGCGGCGCCGCCGCCGGUGCGAGGAGCGAAGUAGAGGCAGAAACUUCUCCGCCGGGAGCCGGGCGUGCCGCGGGGACAAAGUCUGCGGGGGCUGCGGCGCUCCGCGGGCAGAUUGCCAGCAAAAAAUUCUCCAGCUCAUGAAGUGGCGAGGGCAGUGUUAAGAAUACACCCCAGUCCUGUGCUUUUACUUCAGGAUGCAGUGGGAAACAAGGCAUGCAGAGAGCAAAUAAUGAUGCAAGGUUUGUUUGUUUCUAUUUU